Molecule: transfer RNA, 568 nt
Filed under: uncultured bacterium
Lineage: Bacteria
Description: partial ITS between 16S rRNA and 23S rRNA
Rfam family: tRNA (bases 343-415)
Source: RNAcentral
CCGGAAGGUGUGGCUGGAUCACCUCCUUUAAGGAGUUCUUCCUUUGUGGAGGCUCGUCAAGUCAGAGUUUCGCAGUAACUUUCGUGACUAGGUCGGCGAAGACUAGCGACUCCGGUCGUGAAGAGUAGUCGUCCCGAAAAUGAGAGGGCGAUUCGUCGGUAGGCGGCUCAGCAUGCGGUGCAAAUCCGCUUCGUUUUCUGUUUUGAGUGCACACCAGAGUUUGUCCUGUCUUUCCCACUCUUCAGACUUUCAAGGUCUGAAAACCUCCCGCGAAAUUUGAUUUCGCGUGCGGAGGGAGACAUCGGUUGUCGGUGUCGCUAUAGCACGGAAUACCGUGCCCCAGGGGAUGUAGCUCAGCUGGGAGAGCACCUGCUUUGCAAGCAGGGGGUCAGCGGUUCGAAUCCGCUCAUCUCCACCAGCACAUUGACAACCGAAUAGGUCUAUCGAGAUCUCCAGAAUGCCGUAGAGCAAAAUCUGGAUCCUCUUUCUUAGCGUUUUGACGUGACCUUCGAUCAUUCUUCAGCGACUGAGGAGUGGUUAUAGGUCGAACAAGCUAGUAAGGGUCCGA